UCAGGAUGAACGCUGGCGGCGUGCUUAACACAUGCAAGUCGAACGGAGUUUUAACGGAAGUUUCGGAUGGAAGUUUAGAAACUUAGUGGCGGACGGGUGAGUAACGCGUGGGUAACCUGCCUCAUACAGGGGGAUAACAGUUAGAAAUGACUGCUAACACCGCAUAAUAUAGCGAAACCGCAUGAUUUUGCUAUCAAAUAUUUAUAGGUAUGAGAUGGGCCCGCGUCUGAUUAGCUAGUUGGUGGGGUAAAAGCCUACCAAGGCGACGAUCAGUAGCCGGCUUGAGAGAGUGACCGGCCACAUUGGGACUGAGACACGGCCCAAACUCCUACGGGAGGCAGCAGUGGGGAAUAUUGGACAAUGGGGGAAACCCUGAUCCAGCGAACCGCCGCGUGAGUGAAGAAGUAUUUCGGUAUGUAAAGCUCUAUCAGCAGGGAAGAUAAUGACAGUACCUGACUAAGAAGCCCCGGCUAACUACGUGCCAGCAGCCGC
RNAcentral lists this ribosomal RNA (492 nucleotides) under uncultured bacterium. RNAcentral's name for it is "bacterial SSU rRNA". It matches the Rfam family "Bacterial small subunit ribosomal RNA", at positions 24 to 518 of the family's 1533-position model. The record is from RNAcentral.